GAGGGAGGAGUAGUAUUUGUAGCUGGCAGAGGAAGAACUACGAACAGAAGAGAUGGAUGGUACCUCUCUUUUGUCUGAUCCGUUAUCCUUUCUGAAGAUGCUCGUCUUCUAGGCUGGAGAACAUCAGGCUCCGCGACAAUCAGGCCUUGGAUAAGCUAGUAAUUAAUCACGCCAAUCAGGGCUUCAUCCUAGGACUAGGAAACAAACAAUGUAUCUGUUACUGCAAGUAUAGAAGUUUACUCUUACAUCUUAACAUGAAAAUAAAUCAGGACAGCAACCCUUCUCAUUAAUGGAAUCAUGGCAGGUGGCAAGUUAGCUAUUGGUGGUGGGCAUAAUUAGUUUAGUCAAGUAGAUUACAAAUGACUCUUAUGCUAAUAAUUUCUUUAUUGGAGAUUGAUCAAGUAUCAGAAGUCAUCUAGCCAGAUUAAAACCACAGAAUCUUUCACAUCAAUAUUGUAGGAGCAGUUUUAUACCAAACCAAAGCGGAUAAGACAGAUUCUCUAGGCUUUAGUAAGUAAUAUACAAUUAAUCAAAUUUGCAGUUUCUGGCUAUGUGUAUUCCAUGAUGUACAUUUACCUCCAAAUGCAUGUCCAGAGCAUAUACACUAGCAGUACAAGAGAACCAAAUUUACACACAUAAACGGAUGGAGUGGCCGAAAGACAAUAAAUCUUUAACAAGAACUGUUCGAUUAACUCCUGAAAUACAUGGCGGAAAGGAUGGAGGAAAUAAUGCAACGAAGUCAGCAGACUUUAACAGACCAUCAGUGCAAGCCAAUCACAUUAAAUCAAGUCAAAACACCAGAAACAUAGCACAAACACUGAAAAGGUAUACAGUGAAAAUGCUUCAUUCGCCUUUUACACGGACGUGUAGUAGAUUUCAACUGCUUGAUGGAUACAAAGGCGGAAUACUAUCAAACAUCCUUCAGCCAAGAUUGAACAUGUAAUACAUGAGCAUUUUACCAUUUAUACAUAAAUAUAUAUUUUCUGAACAUAGGUUAUGUUAAGUAGCUUGAUAAAAGGAGUAAGCACUUACAGAACAUAGAAGUACGACCAGAAAAAAAAACAACCUAUUUUAAAAAUAUAUAGUACUUCAGCGAAAUAGAAUAAUUUCAAUAAUGAGUCCCCUCAGAAAGAAAAGACCAGGAUAGAAAUCUGGUGAGCACAAAGAACUGCAAAUGUGGGGUAUAGGAGUACAUGAUAAAAAAAUAAAAAGAAUAAUUUAGUGGUACCAUUUGCAAAUAUAAUUUUCAUCAUGAGCUGUUUAAGUAACAACUGGAUUUAUCUUUUUUUUUCCUCAGCAAUGAGCCUGUUGACUAUAGAUGACAUUAUAAGUAACUACAUACUAUAUAUGAGUUUUAUAUUCAUUGUCAAUGCAUUAAGAAACCACAACAUGCAAUACACAAAUGACAGCUACAGUCAACUACAUUUAUAUUGCAAAAAUUGAAAAAUGUCAAACAUAAAAAGGAAGGGAUUGGGAGGAUUCAAGUUGACCUAUAAUUCUUUUGAGUUGUUCAAGUUGACCACUUUUAGGGAAUGCAGCUUUAGCCAAUGGUAUUCAGGUCAAACUGAUGCAUCAGCUUCUUACUUAAGUUAUCAGUACAUUGUAUCCUUAUUGAAGACAAGCAGGAGAGUUCAAUCGAGAAAUAAGUUGAUCAACAUCUGAGCAGCACUAAGGGUCAGAUGACUGAUAGAAUAAUAUAAUGGACAGGAUAUUUUAAGGCAAAAUACUAUAAUCAGUCUGGGGUGAUCCAAUGUUCAAAUAUCUGUGUUGGUCUCAAAACUGCAACACAAGACCAGGCCGUCGGGGACAAGAGUACAAACAAUGUACAAUGUCCUAUUUUCUGAACUUCUUACUGACAAAGGGAACAAAGGAAGGGCCUUUAUCAAUUCCAAAUUAAACGUCUUGCAUUUAUCCGUGGUCACUUUCAUUCAGAUGCAAUUUCAGCCAUUACUAUCCCUGAAAACAGAUCUUCUGUCAAGAUGCUCAAGAAGAUGCUACUGUUUUCUAAAGAUCAAAGGUACUAUCAAAAGUACAUAUAAUUGGUGGUGGUCUGUGAUUACAGACCGUCACAGGAGAACGGCCUGGCCCAACAUCAAAUUUGGCCCAAAUAUCACGUGCCAACCAAAAUCAACAGCAUAAUAGGUUUUCCGAGUGACGGUGAGAUGCAUCACACACAUUCCACAGCAUCAGUAGGAUUAUACACCCAUCAUUUGCAGUGCACACUACAGCAGAUGCAUUCCACAGAAAUAAGGUAGAUUCAUUGUUAAUUGUGCCGUAAACCUUGCAGUUGAUUGAUAGGAGUUGGAUCAAUAGGAACCAAUGCAACAAAAUUAGCUACAUCAACUUCAAUUAAAAGUCAGGGACGUUUGUCAUGUUUUACGAAAACUUAAGGAACAAAUUAGCCUGAACAGAAAACUUAUCAUUUAAAGCAUUUUAUUUGAAUCUAUUCUGAGAUCGAAAAACAUGUAGUAUAACAGUAUGACAGAAGUCGGCCAAAAAUCUCUUGUAUACAGAUUACAGAGUAUUGCAUUCUACGGUACUAAUUGCAUCCACUAUUCGAUAAAGAAGUUUUAAAAGCACGAUCUUUCCUACGGAAGAGGUAACACCAGUCUAAAAAUCAACCGAACAUUCAGCAAGCAAGCAAGAUAUCGCAAUCAGGAGUUCAGGACUAAGACCAGAUCAGAUUGCUCGUGCAAAGAGGCAUUUCAACAAGCACCUGCCGUGCGUGCCCAAUCAGAUAAGAACCAGCAGGUGCCAGGUAGAGAAGCUGACCUUACUAUCUCGCCGUUGGCCAAAAGCAAAUCUGCCCUUUGAAGCAACCGGCUGACGGAGGGAGGCCUGCCGCCUGCCUGAUCGCUGAUCGGUGUUGGAUUUUAGGCGGAGUGACAAGUACGGAGUAUAUAACCUGACCUAAUUCGUGUACAUGUUCAUCUGCGGUGCCUGCCUCUCUGGGUUUGUAAGCUGCGGGCCU
This 2971-nucleotide long non-coding RNA is filed under the name Oryza sativa (Asian cultivated rice). RNAcentral's name for it is "long non-coding RNA (OSAT_LNC000431)". The record is from RNAcentral. Lineage: Eukaryota; Viridiplantae; Streptophyta; Magnoliopsida; Poales; Poaceae.